CUCUAGGAUUUAUUCAUUGCAUAGGCUGUGUAUAUUUUUAUUCGAUACCCAGAUCAUGUAGUGUGAACAUUACAGAG
This 77-nucleotide microRNA precursor is filed under the name Fukomys damarensis (Damara mole-rat). RNAcentral describes it as "mir-1912 microRNA precursor family". It matches the Rfam family "mir-1912 microRNA precursor family". Lineage: Eukaryota; Metazoa; Chordata; Mammalia; Rodentia; Bathyergidae. The record is from Rfam by way of RNAcentral.